RNAcentral lists this ribosomal RNA (623 nucleotides) under Sphingomonas sp. F29. Its description in RNAcentral is "bacterial SSU rRNA". It matches the Rfam family "Bacterial small subunit ribosomal RNA", at positions 87 to 745 of the family's 1533-position model. The record is from RNAcentral. RNAcentral also lists the same sequence under 2 other names. Lineage: Bacteria; Pseudomonadati; Pseudomonadota; Alphaproteobacteria; Sphingomonadales; Sphingomonadaceae.
CGGGUCUAGUGGCGCACGGGUGCGUAACGCGUGGGAAUCUGCCCUUUGCUUCGGAAUAACAGUUAGAAAUGACUGCUAAUACCGGAUGAUGUCGCAAGACCAAAGAUUUAUCGGCAAAGGAUGAGCCCGCGUAGGAUUAGGUAGUUGGUGGGGUAAAGGCCUACCAAGCCGACGAUCCUUAGCUGGUCUGAGAGGAUGAUCAGCCACACUGGGACUGAGACACGGCCCAGACUCCUACGGGAGGCAGCAGUGGGGAAUAUUGGACAAUGGGCGAAAGCCUGAUCCAGCAAUGCCGCGUGAGUGAUGAAGGCCUUAGGGUUGUAAAGCUCUUUUACCAGGGAUGAUAAUGACAGUACCUGGAGAAUAAGCUCCGGCUAACUCCGUGCCAGCAGCCGCGGUAAUACGGAGGGAGCUAGCGUUGUUCGGAAUUACUGGGCGUAAAGCGCACGUAGGCGGUUCAUCAAGUCAGGGGUGAAAGCCCGGAGCUCAACUCCGGAACUGCCCUUGAAACUAGUGGACUUGAAUCUUGGAGAGGCGGGUGGAAUUCCGAGUGUAGAGGUGAAAUUCGUAGAUAUUCGGAAGAACACCAGUGGCGAAGGCGGCCCGCUGGACAAGUAUUGACG